GACGAACGCUGGCGGCGUGCUUAACACAUGCAAGUCGUACGGUAAGGCCCUUUCGGGGGUACACGAGUGGCGAACGGGUGAGUAACACGUGAGUAACCUGCCCACAACUUUGGGAUAACGCUAGGAAACUGGUGCUAAUACUGGAUAUGUGCUCCUGCUGCAUGGUGGGGGUUGGAAAGCUCCGGCGGUUGUGGAUGGACUCGCGGCCUAUCAGCUUGUUGGUGGGGUAGUGGCCUACCAAGGCGGCGACGGGUAGCCGGCCUGAGAGGGUGACCGGCCACAUUGGGACUGAGAUACGGCCCAGACUCCUACGGGAGGCAGCAGUGGGGAAUAUUGCACAAUGGGCGCAAGCCUGAUGCAGCAACGCCGCGUGCGGGAUGACGGCCUUCGGGUUGUAAACCGCUUUCAGCAGGGACGAAGCUUUUUGUGAUGGUACCUGCAGAAGAAGCACCGGCUAACUACGUG
This 465-nucleotide ribosomal RNA is filed under the name uncultured bacterium. RNAcentral describes it as "partial 16S ribosomal RNA". It matches the Rfam family "Bacterial small subunit ribosomal RNA", at positions 28 to 507 of the family's 1533-position model. The record is from RNAcentral.